GUGACGGAGCGACGCCGCGUGGGUGAUGAAGGCCUUCGGGUUGUAAAGCCCUGUCAGCUAUUAAGAAAGGCGGGUGGUGAACAACCAUCCCGUUUGACAAAAGUAGCAAAGGAAGCACCGGCUAACUACGUGCCAGCAGCCGCGGUAAUACGUAGGGUGCAAACGUUGUUCGGAAUCACUGGGCAUAAAGCGCGCGUAGGCGGUCUGAUAAGUCAGGCGUGAAAUCCCCCGGCCCAACCGGGGAACUGCGCUUGAUACUGUCGGGCUAGAGUGCAGGAGGGGAGAGUGGAAUUCCUGGUGGAGCGGUGAAAUGCGUUGAUAUCAGGAGGAACGCCGGUGGCGAAAGCGACUCUCUGGUCUGCAUCUGACGCUGAGGCGCGAAAGCUAGGGGAGCAAACGGGAUUAGAUACCCCGGUAGUCCUAGCCCUAAACGAUGGGCACUAAGUAGAGGGGUUUU
This 457-nucleotide ribosomal RNA is filed under the name uncultured bacterium. Its description in RNAcentral is "bacterial SSU rRNA". It matches the Rfam family "Bacterial small subunit ribosomal RNA", at positions 383 to 832 of the family's 1533-position model. The record is from RNAcentral.